Molecule: unclassified non-coding RNA, 190 nt
Filed under: uncultured Lactifluus
Lineage: Eukaryota; Fungi; Basidiomycota; Agaricomycetes; Russulales; Russulaceae
Description: sequence contains ITS2
Source: RNAcentral
AGUUCUCAACCUUCUUCAUUUUUGAUGAAAAGGCUUGGACUUUGGAGGCUUUUGCCGGCCUCUCUUCAUCGAGGUCGGCUCCUCUUAAAUGCAUUAGUAGGAUCCCUUCUUGCUGGUCCUCGACGUGAUAAGACUUUUCUACGUCUGAGGUUCAGCCCUGUAGACCCGCUUCUAACCAUCUAUUGAACCU